CCUGAUACAUUUUAUCUGCAAAAGGGGUGACUUUUUGGGGUUACUGCUGGCUGAUGCUGAUGUGGGUCUGCAGCAGCUCACUGCCCACUGCUGCCUCCUCCCUCCCGCAUAUUCCUCUGUUUGAAGCUGGGAGGAAGUGUUGUCUCUUUCUCCCAGUUGGCAAAUAUCACAGGGGCCCUGUCGUGCUCUUAGAGGGCCGCAGCACCUAAUUGGGCACCUGUUUACUGAAAACCAUCGGGUGACCCAGCAUUCGCGCCCCAGUACAGCCACACUGGCUGCACCGACGGUAGUACCGCCACUGCUGAGCUGUGUACUUAAAAUACAUCUAAAAGUGCUUUGUGAAAAGAGGUACAUGGCUAAAUGAAUACAGUUAUACUGGAGAAAGCUGCAAACCUUUUUUUAUGUGCCUAGAAUGUUCCUUUAAACAUCAUUAUUUAUCUUACCCUGCCUGUAUGCCAUCAAUUACCAUUACUUACAUAUCAAUGAAUUUAAUUAAUGUUCAUUCUGUAUAUCAUUAAUCAUAACUUGUAAGCACUUAAAUGCUAUUACAUUCCUGGUAUCCCUAGUAAACCUGUUUACCAUUAUAUGACAAAUGUUUUAUUGUAAAUUACAACGUUUUUAAAAGUUUACUAGCUGACAACUACAUGUGCAUAUAGUAAAUGACUGUGGAUGGUGUGUUUGAAGAAAUUAUUGAUUGUUCAUUCAAAUAAGAAAC
This is a non-coding RNA of Pelobates cultripes (western spadefoot toad), 715 nucleotides long. The record is from the annotation of a GenBank genome assembly. NCBI's taxonomy places the organism in Eukaryota, Metazoa, Chordata, Amphibia, Anura, Pelobatidae.